GAUGAACGCUGGCGGCGUGCCUAAUACAUGCAAGUCGAGCGAACAGACGAGGAGCUUGCUCCUCUGACGUUAGCGGCGGACGGGUGAGUAACACGUGGAUAACCUACCUAUAAGACUGGGAUAACUUCGGGAAACCGGAGCUAAUACCGGAUAAUAUAUUGAACCGCAUGGUUCAAUAGUGAAAGACGGUUUUGCUGUCACUUAUAGAUGGAUCCGCGCCGCAUUAGCUAGUUGGUAAGGUAACGGCUUACCAAGGCAACGAUGCGUAGCCGACCUGAGAGGGUGGGCGGCCACACUGGAACUGAGACACGGUCCAGACUCCUACGGGAGGCAGCAGUAGGGAAUCUUCCGCAAGGGGCGAAAGACUGACGGAGCAACGCCGCGGGAGGGAUGAAGGUCGUCGGAUCGUAAAACUCGGUUAUUAGGGAAGAACAAAUGUGUAAGUAACUAUGCACGUCUUGACGGUAACUAAUCAGAAAGCCACGGCUAACUACGUGC
RNAcentral lists this ribosomal RNA (498 nucleotides) under uncultured bacterium. Its description in RNAcentral is "partial 16S ribosomal RNA". It matches the Rfam family "Bacterial small subunit ribosomal RNA", at positions 28 to 508 of the family's 1533-position model. The record is from RNAcentral.